CUCUCUUGGGACAAGAUUUGUAAAUCAAAAAAAAGAGGUGGCCUCGGCUUGUAAUCCUUACCGAUCAGAUAACUGGCCCUAAUCGUGAAAAUUGCUAUAAAUCUCAUUCUGCAUCUUGUCUCUCUUUGGGCCCAUCUUGUCUCCUCAAAGUACAACUUUUUAGGCACUUGGUUGGGCUAUCAUAGACCUCGCAGAUUUUCUAUUAUCUGGUCUAAACUUAGCACUAUUGGAGCCAGCUUCAACAAAAUUUAAUUUGGAUGGUUGGCACUGGCACCUCUGUAAAUAUUUUUCAUG
Molecule: long non-coding RNA, 294 nt
Filed under: Elaeis guineensis (African oil palm)
Lineage: Eukaryota; Viridiplantae; Streptophyta; Magnoliopsida; Arecales; Arecaceae
Description: long non-coding RNA (EGUI_LNC031261)
Source: RNAcentral